This 171-nucleotide ribosomal RNA is filed under the name Mycobacteroides chelonae. RNAcentral's name for it is "partial 16S ribosomal RNA". It matches the Rfam family "Bacterial small subunit ribosomal RNA", at positions 60 to 235 of the family's 1533-position model. The record is from RNAcentral. Lineage: Bacteria; Bacillati; Actinomycetota; Actinomycetes; Mycobacteriales; Mycobacteriaceae.
AGUCGAACGGAAAGGCCCUUCGGGGUACYCGAGUGGCGAACGGGUGAGUAACACSUGGGUGAUCUGCCCUGCACUCUGGGAUAAGCCUGGGAAACUGGGUSUAAUACCGGAUAGGACCACACACUUCAUGGUGAGUGGUGCAAAGCUUUUGCGGUGUGGGAUGAGCCCNCG